AACGAACGCUGGCGGCAUGCCUAACACAUGCAAGUCGAACGAGACCUUCGGGUCUAGUGGCGCACGGGUGCGUAACGCGUGGGAACCUGCCCUUAGGUUCGGAAUAACUCCCCGAAAGGGGUGCUAAUACCGGAUAAUGUCUUCGGACCAAAGAUUUAUCGCCUUUGGAUGGGCCCGCGUUGGAUUAGCUAGUUGGUAGGGUAAAAGCCUACCAAGGCGACGAUCCAUAGCUGGUCUGAGAGGAUGAUCAGCCACACUGGGACUGAGACACGGCCCAGACUCCUAGGGGAGGCAGCAGUGGGGAAUAUUGGAAAAGGGGCGAAACCCUGAACCAGCAAUGCCGGGGGAGGGAUGAAGGCCUUGGGGUUGUAAAGCUCUUUUACCCGGGAUGAUAAUGACAGUACCGGGAAAAUAAGCCCCGGCUAACCCCGU
RNAcentral lists this ribosomal RNA (432 nucleotides) under uncultured bacterium. RNAcentral's name for it is "partial 16S ribosomal RNA". It matches the Rfam family "Bacterial small subunit ribosomal RNA", at positions 29 to 506 of the family's 1533-position model. The record is from RNAcentral.